This 3941-nucleotide long non-coding RNA is filed under the name Sus scrofa (pig). Its description in RNAcentral is "lncRNA (ENSSSCG00000062877.1, ENSSSCG00105001113.1, ENSSSCG00110012418.1)". The record is from RNAcentral. Lineage: Eukaryota; Metazoa; Chordata; Mammalia; Artiodactyla; Suidae.
GAGAUUCUCCAUCUCCUAUGUUUCAAUAGCUCAUUUCUUUUUACUGCUGAAUAGCAUUCCAUUGUAUGCAUAUACUGCAGCUGGCGCAUCCAUUCACCUGUGGAUAGAUAGCUGGGUUGUUUCCAGCAUGGGGCUAUUACAAACAGAGCUAUGAACAUUAUAGACAAAUCUGUUUAUAGACAUUAUUUCCUUUUCUCUUGGGUAAUAUCUAGGAGUGAAAAGGAUAUAUAGUAAGAGUAAGUAUAAUUUUAUAAGGAACUGCCAAAAUGUUUACCAAAGUGGUCAAACCAUUUUACAUUCCCAGAAGCAGUGUGAGCAUGAGAAUUCCAGUUUCUCCAUACCCUAGUCAACACCUGACAUGGUCAAUCUUUUUCAUUCUAUUCCAAUAGGUCUGUUAUGGUAUGUUAUUAUGGUUUUAAUUUGCAUUUUCCUCAUGACUAAUGAUGUUGAGUAUCUUUUCAUGUGCCUUUUUGCCAUCCAUGUAUCUUAUUUGGUUACCUGUAUCUUCAAAUCUUUUGCCCAUUUUAAAAAUUAUAUUUUUAAUUAUUAUUAAGCUUUGUGGAAUGUACAUUCUGCCUUUAUUUUUCUAUUUUUGCUUUUUAGGGCCACACAUGUGGCAUAUGGAGGUUCCCAGGCUAGGGGUCGAAUCGGAGCUAUAGCUGCUGGCCUAUGCCACAGCCACAGCAACGAGGGAUCCAAGCCAUAUGUACAACCUAUACCACAGCUCAUGGCAAUGCUGGGUCCAUAACCCACUGAGCAAGGCCAGGGAUCGAACCCACAACCUCAUGGUUCCUAAGCAGAUUUGUUUCUGCUGCGCCACGAUGGGAACUCCUGAGGGGUAUUUAUAUAUUUUUGACAUAAAUCCUUUAUCCAAUAUAUGAUUUACAAAUAUUUUCUCCCAGUCUGUGGUAUUUUUAUUCUCUUCAUGUUGUCUUUUGAAGACCCAAAGUUUUUAAUUUUGAUGAACACUAAUUCAUCAAUUUUUAAAAAACUGAUUGCAUCAUUUCUUUACUUCUCAAGUGCUUGUCUGUUCAUCUCCACUAGUCAGUGAGUUCCUUGAGGGCAAAGACCACCUUCUUCUAUCUCUGGAUUCCUGGCAUCAAGACAACACUUAGCACUUAAGAGACACUGAAAUUAUCGUUCUUAUCGUCAUGUUAUUAUUCCUGGUUGUUAUGGGAAAUCCCAUGAGUGUCCUGGCAUCUGCUAUGUGAUAAACAUUCCUAUUUACAGGAAUAGAGAUUUUCUAUGUGAUCAUUUUUCUGAGCAAGGAAUGUCUACAAAGGCCUCUGUGCAUUUCCCCAUAAGAUACCUGUAUAUUUAAAUAGAGAGAAUGGAUAACAGAAAAAUUUGCUCCUGAAGGCCCUUCAUUUGGAACUCCUGCUUGCUCUCUCUUUCAAUCAGGCGGAGUCAUUUCUUUCUGGAAUAAGUAAAGAAAAAUCUUAUAACAGUAUUUCCCCUUGGGCAGACGUCAAAGGGGACUUCACCAGGAAAGCAGUUCAAGUAAAUAUCAUCACGGGCCUGCUGUUUUAACCCCAGGACAGGUGUUUAAAGGAAGAGAUAAAACAUCUCCUGCAUCUGUAAGAACCACUGCCUAGACAUUUCCUCCAGUGGUCCCACUGUGGGCUCCUGGCCCCCACCAAGGUUUUCCACAAGAACCACACCAGCUGUGAUGCUGGUUCCUUCAGGCCAAGAGCCAUGGAGGGCCUAUCUAAAUGUUGUUGGAAUGUUAAAUUUGGUAGAAAGCAAAUAGGCAUUUGGCUUAUGGAGUUCUGAAACUUCCAUCUUUCACAAUAAAAAGAUUCUAAGGAUGAUUCCAAUCUGGAAAUAUGGGAGAUUAAGAUAACCACCAAUGAUAACAUACUUCAAAAGCCAAGAAUUGCUGAUAAAAUAUGUUUAAAAUAUAUUGUUAGACCCACAAGAAAAAAAAAAAAGUGGAAACUUUCAGGUGCCAAAAAGGAGCAUGAAACCAGAGUGGUAGUUUAGAAGCUAGUGAUGCUGUCUGUGGUUAUCACAAAGAUAAAAGGUAAGAUGUUGGACUCAUGCAAGAUUGGAGAAUUGGAAUUGAGAACUCCCAACUUGGAACUCUGGAAAAGUGGUAUCCUCUGAAAAGAUUGGCUAGAGCAAAACCUGUCAGCACAAAUAAACAAGAAGUCUUGUCUGUCUCUGAAUUCUAGAUGAGCAAAAAUAUCUCCUUGGGGAAUUAGAAACCGCAGACAGAUCUGGGGCCCAAAUUUACCUACAUUUUCUAGAAAUUUCUCAGUUGAGAAAUUAUCAUAAAAAUUUGUACUCUACUAGUGAAAGAACUCUGAGGCUCCUGGAAAAAGCAAAACCAUUAAUGCCACAAGGAAUUGGGGUGGGGGGGGCUAAUCUAAGAUACACUCACAAUUAAAAUUUUCAAAAUCCACAAGGAGAAACCUACCAUACCCAAAAGGCUGAACCCACACUAGAGACAAGACUAGAUUCUCAAAAAAUUGAAGCAAUGGAAUUAAAAUCUGAAAGAGGAUUUUUAAAAACACCCUGUAGUAUCUAAAAUAAUUAUAUAUCUAAUAAAAAAAAGAUAGAAAUCUUAAGAAAAGUCAGAAAAUAGGCAGCCUGAAGAAGUUUUAAAGAAUGUGAAUAGUAAGUAUGAUAUAAUAAACAUUUUUAGAUCCAAAUCUAUAACCAAUACUGGCAAGUCUUCAAAUUCCCAUGUGUUUGGAAAUAAUUCAUGGGUCAAUAAAAGAAUUUUAAUAAAUAUUAGAAGAUAUUUUGCACUGAAAGUAAAUGAAAAUGCCAUGUAUAAAGAUGUAGAGAAUUCAGCUAUGUGGUACUUAAAGGCAAUAUUUUAUAACAUAUGUAAUAGAACUUAAGAGAGACUUAGAAUUAGUUAGCUAAGCAUCCAACUUAAGAAGUUGGGAAAAGACCAACAGCAUAAACCCCCCCAUCAAAAACUGGAAAAUAAAACAAAUUUUAAAGAUCAGGAGGGAAGUUGAUAAAAAGAGGAACACUAGAAAAAUCAAUAAAAGUUUUUGUUUGAAAAAUGACUAAGUAAAAUAAACUAAUCUCCAACAAGACUGAUUAAGAAAACAGUGAAUAAUUUUUUUAAAAAUUUAUACAUGCACAUAAAUCACCAAUGAGGAAAAAAAUAGAAAAAAAGCUAGUUAUAUAUACAGUGGAAAUUGUCAGAAAGCACAAGAAAAUACUAUGAACAACAUUUGAAUAGAUUCAAGAAACAAUAGUUAAGAAAGAUGUAAUUUACCAAAACUGUCCAAGAUGUAUAAAAUUUGAAUACACCUAUAAUCAGUAAAGAAAAUGAAUCAAUAGUUUAAAGUUUAGGGGUUCUUGCUGUGACACAGUGGGUUAAGGAUCCAACUGCUGCAGCUCAGGACACUGACAAGGUACAGAUUCAAUCCUUGGCCCAGUGGAUUAAAGGGUCUUUGUUGCCCCAGUGGCAGCACAGCUCACAGCUUCCUGGCCUGGGAACUUCCAUAUGCCACAAGUGCGGCCAUUAAAAAAAAAGUUUAAAAUUUAUUCACACACAGACACACAUGCACAUGCACACAGGCACACAUACACAUAAAUAUACCCUACACACACACACACACAUACAAAAAAACCUCAAAUGAUUCCAUAGGUAAGUUCUACCAAACACUGAAGGAACAGAUAUUUUCUAUCUUAUUCAAAUUGUUUCACAAAGCAGAAAAAGAAGAAAUGCCUCUCCUCCUCAUUUAAUGAGAGUGGUAUAGCCUUAGUACCACUCAGAUCGGACAGUGUUAGAAUAGAAAACCAUAGGCCCAUCUCACAAACAUAGGCACCCAGAAGAAUUUUAUAAACUGUUAUCAAACUAAAUAUAGCAAUAUGACAAAAAACCUUUAUUGUAGGUUUCAUCCCAGGAAGAUUUAAUGUUAGAAAACCUAUUUAUAUAAUCCACUCAAUAAAAAGUAGAUGAGAAAAGGACAUGU